The submitters of this non-coding RNA (37 nucleotides) gave its source as unclassified sequences. The record is from Rfam.
CCAGUCAAGCCUCUCUACGAUGCUCAAACCGACUGGC